AACGAACGCUGGCAGCGUGGAUUAGGCAUGCAAGUCAAACGGGAUCCGGAAGGUAGCAAUACCGGCCGGUGAGAGUGGCGGAAGGGCGAGGAGCACGUGGACAACCUGUCCCGUGGGUGGGGAUACCGUCCCGAAAGGGGCGUUAAUACCGAAUGGGGCCCCGGACCGCAUGGUCCGGCGGCCAAAGGCGGGGACCGCAAGGCCCGCCCCCCCGGGAGGGGUCCGCGCACCAUCAGCUAGACGGCGGGGUAACGGCCCACCGUGGCUUACGGUUAGCUGGUCUGAGAGGACGACCAGCCGCACUGGGACUGAGACACUGCCCAGACUCCUACGGGAGGCUGCAGUCGAGGAUCAUUCGCAAUGGGCGAAAGCCUGACGAUGCGACGCUGCGUGGAGGAUGAAGGCCCUCGGGUCGUAAACUCCUGUCAUGGGGGGCGAGGCGGAGGCGGUUAACGGCCGCCCGAGUUGACGGUACCCCAAGAGGAAGCCACGGCUAACUCUGUG
This 504-nucleotide ribosomal RNA is filed under the name uncultured bacterium. RNAcentral describes it as "partial 16S ribosomal RNA". It matches the Rfam family "Bacterial small subunit ribosomal RNA", at positions 28 to 507 of the family's 1533-position model. The record is from RNAcentral.